This 651-nucleotide ribosomal RNA is filed under the name uncultured bacterium. Its description in RNAcentral is "bacterial SSU rRNA". It matches the Rfam family "Bacterial small subunit ribosomal RNA", at positions 767 to 1415 of the family's 1533-position model. The record is from RNAcentral.
AGCAAACAGGAUUAGAUACCCUGGUAGUCCACGCCCUAAACGAUGUAUACCGGUUGUUGCUGUGCUAGUCACGGCAGUAAUCCACCUAACGGAUUAGGUAUACCGCCUGGGGAGUACGGUCGCAAGAUUAAAACUCAAAGGAAUAGACGGGGACCCGCACAAGCGGUGGAGCAUGUGGUUUAAUUCGAAGAUACGCGAAGAACCUUACCCGGACUUGAUAUCUAACAAAUCAUCCAGAGAUGGAAGAGUGUCUGCUUGCAGAAAUGUUAAGACAGGUGCUGCACGGCUGUCGUCAGCUCGUGUCGUGAGAUGUUGGGUUAAGUCCCGCAACGAGCGCAACCCACGUCAUUAGUUGCUAACGGUUCGGCCGAGCACUCUAAUGAGACUGCCUUCGUAAGGAGGAGGAAGGUGUGGACGACGUCAAGUCAUCAUGGCCCUUAUGUCCGGGGCGACACACGUGCUACAAUGGCAUAUACAAUAAGACGCAAUAUCGUAAGAUGGAGCAAAUCUAAAAAAUAUGUCCCAGUUCGGAUUGGAGUCUGCAACUCGACUCCAUGAAGCCGGAAUCGCUAGUAAUCGUAGAUCAGCCAUGCUACGGUGAAUACGUUCCCGGGUCUUGUACUCACCGCCCGUCACACCAUGGGAGUUGAU